CCUACGGGAGGCUGCAGUGGGGAAUAUUGGACAAUGGGGGGAACCCUGAUCCAACCAUGCCGCGUGUGUGAAGAAGGCCCUCGGGUUGUAAAGCACUUUCAGUGAGGAAGAACGCCUGGUGGUUAAUACCCAUCAGGAAAGACAUCACUCACAGAAGAAGCACCGGCUAACUCCGUGCCAGCAGCCGCGGUAAUACGGAGGGUGCGAGCGUUAAUCGGAAUUACUGGGCGUAAAGCGCGCGUAGGUGGCUUGAUAAGCCGGUUGUGAAAGCCCCGGGCUCAACCUGGGAACGGCAUCCGGAACUGUCAAGCUAGAGUGCAGGAGAGGAAGGUAGAAUUCCCGGUGUAGCGGUGAAAUGCGUAGAGAUCGGGAGGAAUACCAGUGGCGAAGGCGGCCUUCUGGACUGACACUGACACUGAGGUGCGAAAGCGUGGGUAGCAAACAGGAUUAGAUACCCGUGUAGUC
This 465-nucleotide ribosomal RNA is filed under the name Vreelandella stevensii. RNAcentral's name for it is "partial 16S ribosomal RNA". It matches the Rfam family "Bacterial small subunit ribosomal RNA", at positions 338 to 795 of the family's 1533-position model. Lineage: Bacteria; Pseudomonadati; Pseudomonadota; Gammaproteobacteria; Oceanospirillales; Halomonadaceae. The record is from RNAcentral.